RNAcentral lists this ribosomal RNA (267 nucleotides) under uncultured bacterium. Its description in RNAcentral is "partial 16S ribosomal RNA". The record is from RNAcentral.
CUGCUGCCUCCCGUAGGAGUCUGGGCCGUGUCUCAGUCCCAAUGUGGCCGGUCACCCUCUCAGGUCGGCUACUGAUCGUUGGCUUGGUGGGCCGUUACCCCGCCAACUACCUAAUCAGACGCGGGCCCAUCUUACACCACCGGAGUUUUUACCACAAAACCAUGCAGUUUCGUGGUCUUAUGCGGUAUUAGCAGUCAUUUCUAACUGUUAUCCCCCUGUGUAAGGCAGGUUGCCCACGCGUUACUCACCCGUCCGCCGCUCAGUCAA